GGGUUGUGAGGUUAAGCGACUAAGCGUACACGGUGGAUGCCCUGGCAGUCAGAGGCGAUGAAGGACGUGCUAAUCUGCGAUAAGCGUCGGUAAGGUGAUAUGAACCGUUAUAACCGGCGAUUUCCGAAUGGGGAAACCCAGUGUGAUUCGUCACACUAUCAUUAACUGAAUCCAUAGGUUAAUGAGGCGAACCGGGGGAACUGAAACAUCUAAGUACCCCGAGGAAAAGAAAUCAACCGAGAUUCCCCCAGUAGCGGCGAGCGAACGGGGAGCAGCCCAGAGCCUGAAUCAGUGUGUGUGUUAGUGGAAGCGUCUGGAAAGGCGCGCGAUACAGGGUGACAGCCCCGUACACAAAAAUGCACAUGCUGUGAGCUCGAUGAGUAGGGCGGGACACGUGGUAUCCUGUCUGAAUAUGGGGGGACCAUCCUCCAAGGCUAAAUACUCCUGACUGACCGAUAGUGAACCAGUACCGUGAGGGAAAGGCGAAAAGAACCCCGGCGAGGGGAGUGAAAAAGAACCUGAAACCGUGUACGUACAAGCAGUGGGAGCACAGAGCAAUCUGUGUGACUGCGUACCUUUUGUAUAAUGGGUCAGCGACUUAUAUUCUGUAGCAAGGUUAACCGAAUAGGGGAGCCGAAGGGAAACCGAGUCUUAACUGGGCGUUAAGUUGCAGGGUAUAGACCCGAAACCCGGUGAUCUAGCCAUGGGCAGGUUGAAGGUUGGGUAACACUAACUGGAGGACCGAACCGACUAAUGUUGAAAAAUUAGCGGAUGACUUGUGGCUGGGGGUGAAAGGCCAAUCAAACCGGGAGAUAGCUGGUUCUCCCCGAAAGCUAUUUAGGUAGCGCCUCGUGAAUUCAUCUCCGGGGGUAGAGCACUGUUUCGGCAAGGGGGUCAUCCCGACUUACCAACCCGAUGCAAACUGCGAAUACCGGAGAAUGUUAUCACGGGAGACACACGGCGGGUGCUAACGUCCGUCGUGAAGAGGGAAACAACCCAGACCGCCAGCUAAGGUCCCAAAGUCAUGGUUAAGUGGGAAACGAUGUGGGAAGGCCCAGACAGCCAGGAUGUUGGCUUAGAAGCAGCCAUCAUUUAAAGAAAGCGUAAUAGCUCACUGGUCGAGUCGGCCUGCGCGGAAGAUGUAACGGGGCUAAACCAUGCACCGAAGCUGCGGCAGCGACGCUGAUGCGUUGUUGGGUAGGGGAGCGUUCUGUAAGCCUGUGAAGGUGUGCUGUGAGGCAUGCUGGAGGUAUCAGAAGUGCGAAUGCUGACAUAAGUAACGAUAAAGCGGGUGAAAAGCCCGCUCGCCGGAAGACCAAGGGUUCCUGUCCAACGUUAAUCGGGGCAGGGUGAGUCGACCCCUAAGGCGAGGCCGAAAGGCGUAGUCGAUGGGAAACAGGUUAAUAUUCCUGUACUUGGUGUUACUGCGAAGGGGGGACGGAGAAGGCUAUGUUGGCCGGGCGACGGUUGUCCCGGUUUAAGCGUGUAGGCUGGUUUUCCAGGCAAAUCCGGAAAAUCAAGGCUGAGGCGUGAUGACGAGGCACUACGGUGCUGAAGCAACAAAUGCCCUGCUUCCAGGAAAAGCCUCUAAGCAUCAGGUAACAUCAAAUCGUACCCCAAACCGACACAGGUGGUCAGGUAGAGAAUACCAAGGCGCUUGAGAGAACUCGGGUGAAGGAACUAGGCAAAAUGGUGCCGUAACUUCGGGAGAAGGCACGCUGAUAUGUAGGUGAAGCGACUUGCUCGUGGAGCUGAAAUCAGUCGAAGAUACCAGCUGGCUGCAACUGUUUAUUAAAAACACAGCACUGUGCAAACACGAAAGUGGACGUAUACGGUGUGACGCCUGCCCGGUGCCGGAAGGUUAAUUGAUGGGGUCAGCGCAAGCGAAGCUCUUGAUCGAAGCCCCGGUAAACGGCGGCCGUAACUAUAACGGUCCUAAGGUAGCGAAAUUCCUUGUCGGGUAAGUUCCGACCUGCACGAAUGGCGUAAUGAUGGCCAGGCUGUCUCCACCCGAGACUCAGUGAAAUUGAACUCGCUGUGAAGAUGCAGUGUACCCGCGGCAAGACGGAAAGACCCCGUGAACCUUUACUAUAGCUUGACACUGAACAUUGAGCCUUGAUGUGUAGGAUAGGUGGGAGGCUUUGAAGUGUGGACGCCAGUCUGCAUGGAGCCGACCUUGAAAUACCACCCUUUAAUGUUUGAUGUUCUAACGUUGACCCGUGAUCCGGGUUGCGGACAGUGUCUGGUGGGUAGUUUGACUGGGGCGGUCUCCUCCUAAAGAGUAACGGAGGAGCACGAAGGUUGGCUAAUCCUGGUCGGACAUCAGGAGGUUAGUGCAAUGGCAUAAGCCAGCUUGACUGCGAGCGUGACGGCGCGAGCAGGUGCGAAAGCAGGUCAUAGUGAUCCGGUGGUUCUGAAUGGAAGGGCCAUCGCUCAACGGAUAAAAGGUACUCCGGGGAUAACAGGCUGAUACCGCCCAAGAGUUCAUAUCGACGGCGGUGUUUGGCACCUCGAUGUCGGCUCAUCACAUCCUGGGGCUGAAGUAGGUCCCAAGGGUAUGGCUGUUCGCCAUUUAAAGUGGUACGCGAGCUGGGUUUAGAACGUCGUGAGACAGUUCGGUCCCUAUCUGCCGUGGGCGCUGGAGAAUUGAGGGGGGCUGCUCCUAGUACGAGAGGACCGGAGUGGACGCAUCACUGGUGUUCGGGUUGUCAUGCCAAUGGCACUGCCCGGUAGCUAAAUGCGGAAGAGAUAAGUGCUGAAAGCAUCUAAGCACGAAACUUGCCCCGAGAUGAGUUCUCCCUGACUCCUUGAGAGUCCUGAAGGAACGUUGAAGACGACGACGUUGAUAGGCCGGGUGUGUAAGCGCAGCGAUGCGUUGAGCUAACCGGUACUAAUGAACCGUGAGGCUUAACCUUACAACGCCGAAG
RNAcentral lists this ribosomal RNA (2927 nucleotides) under Escherichia coli. Its description in RNAcentral is "23S ribosomal RNA". It matches the Rfam family "Bacterial large subunit ribosomal RNA". The record is from RNAcentral. Lineage: Bacteria; Pseudomonadati; Pseudomonadota; Gammaproteobacteria; Enterobacterales; Enterobacteriaceae.